GACGAACGCUGGCGGCGUGCUUAACACAUGCAAGUCGAACGGGCCUGUCUUCUUUUUUGGGGGUGGGUUGAGUGGCGAACGGGUGAGUAUCACGUGAGUAACCUGCCCUUCGGUCCUGGAUAACCGCUUGAAAGGGCGGCUAAUACGGGGUGGUCCGGUUGGUCCGCAUGGGCUGGUCGGGAUAGAUUCACUGUUUUGGUGUUUCGGCGGGGGAUGGGCUCGCGGCCUAUCAGCUUGUUGGUGGGGUGAUGGCCUACCAAGGCGGUGACGGGUAGCCGGCCUGAGAGGGUGGGCGGCCACACUGGGACUGGGAUACGGCCCAGACUCCUGCGGGAGGCAGCAGUGGGGGGUAUUGCACAAUGGGCGGAAGCCUGAUGCAGCGACGUCGCGUGAGGGAUGGAGGCCUUCGGGUUGUGAACCUCUGUUUCCGGUGGUGAAGGCCCUGUCCGUGUGGUGGGGUUGACGGUAGCCGGGGAUGAAGCGCCGGCUAACUACGUG
Molecule: ribosomal RNA, 498 nt
Filed under: uncultured bacterium
Lineage: Bacteria
Description: partial 16S ribosomal RNA
Rfam family: Bacterial small subunit ribosomal RNA
Source: RNAcentral